RNAcentral lists this ribosomal RNA (465 nucleotides) under uncultured bacterium. RNAcentral describes it as "partial 16S ribosomal RNA". It matches the Rfam family "Bacterial small subunit ribosomal RNA", at positions 28 to 507 of the family's 1533-position model. The record is from RNAcentral.
GACGAACGCUGGCGGCGUGCUUAACACAUGCAAGUCGAACGGUGAGCUCCGCUUGCGGGGGGAUCAGUGGCGAACGGGUGAGUAACACGUGGGCAACCUGCCCUCAGCUCUGGGAUAACUCCAAGAAAUUGGGGCUAAUACCGGAUAUGACCGCUGACCGCAUGGUCUGGUGGUGGAAAGAUUUAUCGGCUGGGGAUGGGCCCGCGGCCUAUCAGCUUGUUGGUGGGGUAGUGGCCUACCAAGGCGACGACGGGUAGCCGGCCUGAGAGGGUGACCGGCCACACUGGGACUGAGACACGGCCCAGACUCCUACGGGAGGCAGCAGUGGGGAAUAUUGCGCAAUGGGCGAAAGCCUGACGCAGCGACGCCGCGUGGGGGAUGACGGCCUUCGGGUUGUAAACCUCUUUCAGCAGGGACGAAGCGAAAGUGACGGUACCUGCAGAAGAAGCACCGGCCAACUACGUG